Molecule: ribosomal RNA, 474 nt
Filed under: uncultured Glomus
Lineage: Eukaryota; Fungi; Glomeromycota; Glomeromycetes; Glomerales; Glomeraceae
Description: SSU rRNA
Rfam family: Eukaryotic small subunit ribosomal RNA
Source: RNAcentral
AGCAGCCGCGGUAAUUCCAGCUCCAAUAGCGUAUAUUAAAGUUGUUGCAGUUAAAAAGCUCGUAGUUGAAUUUCGGGAUCAGUACGCUGGUCAUGCCUUUGGUAUGCACUGGUGUCACUGGUUUCUCCCUUCUGAAGAACCGUGAUGUCAUUAAUUUGGUGUCGCGGGGAAUCAGGACUGUUACUUUGAAAAAUUAGAGUGUUUAAAGCAGGCUCACGCUUGAAUACAUUAGCAUGGAAUAAUGAAAUAGGACGUUUGACCCUAUUUUGUUGGUCUCUAGGAUCGACGUAAUGAUUAAUAGGGAUAGUUGGGGGCAUUAGUAUUCAAUUGUCAGAGGUGAAAUUCUUGGAUUUAUUGAAGACUAACUACUGCGAAAGCAUUUGCCAAGGAUGUUUUCAUUAAUCAAGAACGAAAGUUAGGGGAUCGAAGACGAUCAGAUACCGUCGUAGUCUUAACCAUAAACUAUGCCGACUA